RNAcentral lists this long non-coding RNA (804 nucleotides) under Salmo salar (Atlantic salmon). Its description in RNAcentral is "lncRNA (ENSSSAG00000113193.1, ENSSSAG00000118336.1)". Lineage: Eukaryota; Metazoa; Chordata; Actinopteri; Salmoniformes; Salmonidae. The record is from RNAcentral.
UGCACGCGCAGGGGAGUGGGGGCGUGGCAUUUUUUUGAGGAAAAAAAGCUAAACAAUCUUUAAUAUUUCAAAUUGACUGUGUCGGCUUUUUAAGUUGUCUCGGCUGGUGGAGAAGUCCAUACCUUAGAAUAGUGGUAACACACGGGGAUCCACUCAAGACAGGCCUGAAUGUAUUUUCUUCCAAAUUUCUGGACGAAAAGGUAUAGAAAGCGGGUAAUCUUUCUUUAGUCACCACUCCGGUCAGACGAUGAAUUCUAAACGUUUGCUUGACAUGUCUCCGGCUGAAAUACUGGUCGGGGGCGCUUCGAAACAAGCCGGUAUUGACCAGCAUGCAGAGGGUUCCAAGGGAAGCGAAAUGAGUGUCACCACUACUGACAGCGGUGUCAUUCUGGCGUGCGGGAGCGGGCCCGCAUCAGGAGCAGUUUUCUGCACAUUCGUGCUAGACGAUGGCACUUUGAGAGAAUGUACAAACCAGGACAUUAUCCUCAAUGGGAAUGACCUGUCGUCAGGGAAAGAAAAAUACGCGCACCGGAAAAUAAUGGGUUGUGGUGGCGAGGCAGAUGAGAGGAACAGUGGUCUGACUGGGGUCCUUACUAACGGCAGUCCCACUCACUGCCUGAUCCUGAACGGGCAGAAGCCGGACAGACACAUGCACUCGAAAGUGAGGAAUCCGCUGGUGCCCGAUGGUUUCCAGGAAACCGGACAUCAAGUGCCACCUGAGGAGAGAAAUUCCCACCCCUCCUCCCACAUACCUGUCCCCCGACGCAGGGAGCUGGACCAAUAUCAAAACCAGCCAGGUCACUC